AGGUCACAAGAUUGCGCCAACCCUUACAUGGUCCUUAAAAAAAAAACCUUCUGACACUGCAGUAGUGAAAAUGAAGCGCACGAUGGGCGGAAGCUAGGAAGACAAACAUAAAGAUGAAGUGCUUAAUUCAAGGUCACACAAUGUCGGGGAUGGACCUCCAGAUUUCCUUACUGGAAAACAAGCUCAGGGCUCCCACUGAUUGUACAUUAUGGUGAGACGUGGUCUUGUAACACAGUGGUUAAGAAUGUGACUUUGGAGCCAGCCUGCUAGGGGCUGAAUUCUGACUCAGCCAUUUACUAACUGUGUGACCUUAGGUGGAGUCUCACUCUGUAGCCCAAGCUGGAGUGGCGUGAUCUCGACUCACUGCAACCUCCGCCUCCUGGGAUCAAGUGAUUCUCGUGCCUCAGCCUCCUGAGUAGCCGGGACUACAGGUCACAGAAUUUUCCACACUCCUUGACAGAGGUGCUUAACCCUUAUCCAUCAGCAUUCUCAGACAGCACCUCCGGUUAGGGACAGUAUCUGACCGUCCGACAUCCCUGCAGCCCCCAUGUGUCACACAGACUCAGCCUCAGGUAGAUGGUUUCCGUAGAUGGUGGCUUUCUUUGGACCCUUGACAUCAACCAGUUACUAUUUGACUCUUCUGCAGAACCCCAUGUUGACCCCUGCUUUGAGGUGGCAGAGUUAACACUACUCUUCGUUAUAAGCUCUCGUCUGGGGCAACUCAGAAGAACGUAAGUUCCAUGGGGAAGGUUUUUGUUUGUUUCUAAUUGUGGUAAAAUAUAUAUAACAUAAAAUCGACCAUUUUAAUGAUUUUUGAGUGUACAAUUCAGUGACAUUAAGUAUAUUUACAAUAUCAUGUAACCAUCAACACCAUUCAUCUUCAGAACUUCUUCAUCUUCCCACACUGAAACUCUCUACCCACUAAAC
This 927-nucleotide long non-coding RNA is filed under the name Homo sapiens (human). RNAcentral's name for it is "non-protein coding PCBP1-AS1:225". Lineage: Eukaryota; Metazoa; Chordata; Mammalia; Primates; Hominidae. The record is from RNAcentral.